Transfer RNA from Lepisosteus oculatus (spotted gar), 73 nucleotides. It matches the Rfam family "tRNA". Rfam says of the family: Transfer RNA (tRNA) molecules are approximately 80 nucleotides in length. Their secondary structure includes four short double-helical elements and three loops (D, anti-codon, and T loops). The record is from Rfam. NCBI's taxonomy places the organism in Eukaryota, Metazoa, Chordata, Actinopteri, Semionotiformes, Lepisosteidae.
CCCCGGCUAGCCUUGUUGGUAGAGCUCGAGACUCAUAAUCUCAGGGUAGUGGGUUCGUGUCCCAUGUUGGGCG